Dromaius novaehollandiae (emu) is the source of this 5071-nucleotide long non-coding RNA. RefSeq lists it as uncharacterized. The record is from RefSeq and is a predicted model, not a curated record. The transcript is spliced from 2 exons. NCBI's taxonomy places the organism in Eukaryota, Metazoa, Chordata, Aves, Casuariiformes, Dromaiidae.
GGGAAAGCCUUAAGCAGUUCUAUUCGGAAUAUUUAGGUUUUGGAGCUAUCAGCUACGAGAGUGCUUGAUUGAAAACUCCAGACGUUUUUUUGUCUCUUGCUAACUUAAAGAACGAACCAUACAAAGGCCAUCCUUUGGGGGAAAUCAUCAAUUUUCAGGAUCACUCGGACAUCUGAAAUAUCUCAUAAAGAGAUGCCAAGACUGGAACUUGUUUCUCUCGACAGCCAAGUUUGUUUGAACAUCGUCUGCGAUUCUGCGUUCCCUACCAGAGUACUCUGAAAAAAAACCCACAAAACCUACAAUUUCAACCUUCAAAGGUGCAGGUCAGAGCUCAGGAAUGGAGGAACCUCAAACUGUUGAUGAUUUUUAUCAUUACAACCAUUUCUUUAGCAUCUUACAGCACUUGUCAGUUCUCAGCUGAGGCUUACACACAAUGUAGUGCCUUCUGCAAUCAGAGCCAAAAGCUCACAUCAUUUCCAGAGAAAUCAACGGGCAAAUAAGUAUCUCCCAGAGGAGGAAAAUCCACAGCUUAAACAGAAGGGUUUACUUCCUGGAAAAGCAAUGCUUCUGGCCCAACUCAUAAUACAUCAGAAGAGUGCAAUGGUGUGAGUUAACCUGACCCCAUUCAGUGGCUACGCUAUGCAGACAUAAGAUAUCGGAACGGUUUCCUUCCCAUUUUUACUGCUACCUAAAGUUCUAUGUAGUAAAAUAAAUAUUUGUGUUCCAGAAUCAAAGCCAAAUUUCAAAAACAUCCUGCAAAUUAAAUGGUCAUUCAGAUUUACAGCACAAUAUUAAUUAACUCAGACUGUAUUUAAUGAUCAGAUAUGCCACAAUAUACGGUAUUGAAAUAUCUUAUAAUAUUAUGGCUGCUCUGAUUGCAUUACUGAGUGAAGUAACUUUAUUGUUUCCAGUGUUAAAAUCAGCUUCACCUAAAAUAGCUGAAGGAAGCAUUUAAUUCACUUUUUUCUUGGGAAACUAAACUCUUCCAAGUCAGUAUUUAAGGUAUGAGUUGUAGAGAGAAACCUGUCUUAUGUAACCAAAAAAAAGGAAGCAGUUGUCACAGGAAAUGAUCAGUUAAUAAGAGGCUGUCCACAAAAUGUAUGCAGCAAUUUGAGAUGUCUUCAAAAGUCAGGAGGGUGUUGUGCAAGGAAUUCAUGAAUUAACUAUGAGUACAGAAAUAUUUGGCAUUUUUCUUGAAAAAGUAAUUCCUGAAGGAACAUUACUUAAGUGGAAAUCUCAAUUUACAGUAUUAAAAACAGCAGCUUUCUUAUCCUCAUAGUUGUAGCAAAUAGGUUGAAAUACACAACAUGAACAGAAACCGAAAAAUAAAGGAAAAAGAAACAACAUCUAAGAUAUUUUAACCUUUGGUUAAAUUAGGUUAAAUUAAAUUUACCUUUGGUAAACUGAGGUCUUUCAGGCUGGUAAUAUUACAUAACCCUGUGAGCAUUUGCCUAGAGAGUAUUGUUGAAGGUACACAAAUACAUAACAAAGUAGUCUCAUUAAAAAUACUUGCUGGGCAUAUUUAUGAAAGAAGACUCACAGAUUCCAGUGCCACAGUAUAGAGGAAGGUGAUUCUCAUCCAUGGCAUGCUGAAUUUUCAGUAAAAAACUUUGACUGUCUUGUAUAGGCUACAAGGAAAGCCAUUUAAGAACUUUACCUCCAUCCCUCAGUUUAUCCUGAAGUCUGGUUAUAGCAGUACAUUUCUGUAAUAACUGGAGAUUUAGGGUAGGGCAUGCUCGGAACAUCAGGUUCUGGCAAAUUGUCUUCAGUGAAAAAUUGUGGCAACAAAUUUGGAAGCUUCCUCUAGGUCCUGGUCUACAUCUAGGUUUUAAUAUUCGCCUCUUUUAAUAACUUUGUCCAUUCUUCCUUCCUCCUCCAGAUUUCAUAUUCUUCUUCCUCUUUUGCUCUUUGCUUUCCAGCCUUAUCUUUUAAUAUCAAGCAAUUCUCAAAUCCUUUGGUGAAUAGCUUUUAAAACUCAUCAUCCCAACGGCAGCUCUCAUCUCUCUGAUAGCUGCCUACAGGAGCUGGCAACAGAGCAAUCCACAUGAAACAAUUGCUUUCAGAUAGGCCCUUUGGAUUGUGUUCAUGCAAGAAGGGAAUCCCAACAGCCACUCUGGAAACUCUGUAGGCCUUUCCAAUUCCCACUGAAAUCUAUGAAGAGACUCCUAAGCCUAAUCCAUCAGAAAUUCACGUUAGCAGCUGCUGGACCACAAAUGUUUGGCUGCUCUACAGACCACAUAUGGUAGCUGAUGCUCUGAUAAUGAGUGAGAGAUCUCUUGUCCACAUCAGCUGUACAGUGCUUAAUUAUAUUCCACCUUGCCCCUUUCCCAGAAAUAGGUCAGCUACAUGGAAGAUGAAUUAAUAUCUCUGGACAAAGGAUGAUGGAAGAACAUUUAAUCAUUGCAUAUAUUAUUAGAUUAUUGCAUAUAUUAUUAAAUUCACUGUUUCUAAUCACCAACUUUUUCUAAUUUUACCUCCUCUACUGAAUAAGAAUAGGCAAAGAUGUAUCUUUCUGCCAGUCUUUUUUUCUGCAGCAUUCUCUGGGUAAUACAUAUUGCUGUGUUGUUUAAACAGAAUGUAUAUUUUCCUGUUUCUUGAAAAGUCACACAAUUUACACAGGGACUUUCUGCCUCUCCUGAUUUCUGUUCCAGAACCACUCAAAUUUGAGAGAGCUGAGUACAUUCCUUUGUAUGAAUGUAUAUGAAGCUAAACUGGGGUAUUAUGAAAAACAGUUCACAAAGCCAGUGGAAAGCUAUAUAUAAAAUGAUAUUCUCAUUUCAGAUGAAGCUUGAGACAAAAGGCGUAUAGGUAAACACAGCUGCAACAUUUUUAGGCAUAUAAUCAAAUCCACAAAAAAAUAUUGGAAAACUAUGCUAAUUAUUGUAAUUAAAUUGUGAACAGUAUUGAUAGAAAAAUAUCUUUAAAGCAUAUAAAAUCAAAAUGAAUCUUAUAACAUACGGGAAUUUAUUCUAGAGGAAAGAUGUGCCAGGACAAAAGUACCAGUUACCUACUUGCUGUGAGUAGAAGUUGGAACUUAUAAGAGAAGCAAGAAAUGCAAGAUAUAUUGUUUGGUACUCGUUCAGUAAACCCACCGGUUUAUGAAGAUUUAGAAAAUUAGCAUCAAAACAAUAACUGAGAGUCUUUUUUAAACAUUCUAUGUUAAGACAUUUCUCUCUUCAUCUGCAGAUCCCAUGUUAUUCCAUUCUCAUACCAUGUUUCUGUAUCCUUUUUCUUUCUGUUCCUUCCUAUCAAUCUUUAGAGUCUCUGAGCUUUUCCUUAUUCCAUAUAGAUAUUUUCUCCUUUUCUCAUUGCCAGUUUCACAGAACAGAAGAGAUUACUCAGCUUUCUGCUGAACUUGCUUCCACUGGGUUUAAGCAUAAGCUUAAAAUUGAAUUUGUUAGUGAAACACCAUUAAGUUCCCUGUGCAGUCUGUGGAGAAAGGCAAGCUCCCACAGAAUGGAUUCAGAUCCAGAGUAGAAGCUGAACCAGACAGUUUGCUUGUCUUCCAAAAGGUGUCCUGACUAUGCAGGCAGCCUAAGGCAAUCACACACCUGAAGGAGGUCUCCGUCAGCUCUUUGGGUUCAGCGCUUGGUUGUUCCAUGGCUUUGUGUUUUCCAGUUUAUGCAUUUUAUCCAACAGAUGUCACUUACAUUUUGCUCUCCAGAGCCCUUCUAUUCAACAGAAUCCUCUAAAUUAAGUUAUAAGGAGGGAGGAUAAAUAGUCCUUAAGUAUCAACACAUUAGUCAGCAUACAUGUAAGGAACUAAGAAAGCCCAUAUACUACUCCAAAGGCUGCCCCUGAUCAUGGCUCCAGCCAUAUAGGAAUAGAAACAGGCGUGGGCCUGCUUAAUCCCCUUUGAAAGUGGGGAAUGGAUGCAAGGGCCUUGACUCCACCCCUACCAGUUACUUGCAAACACCCCUGGACUGCUUAUGCUGGUCCACUGCACCAGCCUUGACCACAGCAGGAUUGCUGUAGCUCAGUGCACGUGCUGGCCCACCGCGCAGUCCUGGUCCUGCUGCCCACUACUUGGCAGAGCAAAGACCUGACUCAGGGGAGAAUCCAUGGCCCUGCAGGGGCACCCUUGGCUGAGUGAAGUCUCAGGAGCCCUGAGUACAGAGCAUGGAGGAGAGUGAGUUAUCCACCCUGGAGAGGUCAGUCAGGCCUUAAAGGAGAAGCAAGAAGGCAACAGUAGUUCCACAGAUCUGACUGGCUAGCAGGUAAUUGUUUGGAGCAAUGGGCUUUUUUCUCCCCCCAUUCUGAAACUAUUUUUCUUGAUUUAUUAUUUGGAGGGAGAGCUGUCAUCUUUCUUUCACACAGAAACAUUUAAUUUUAAGAUAAUUUGCACAUAAUACUUUGCUUUUGCAUUGCUUCAAACAGAACGAUUUCCCAUUAAGAUAAAGCAAGGAUGAGCAGACUGUGGCCACUAAACAGAGUGUGCUGACACAGCAGAGCAGCAGUAUAAUGACAUUAAGGCUCAGAUUUUUAAAACAUUCAAAAAAUAAAUCAAAUUACAAAAGAAAAAAUACUCAAAAAUUGUCUGAGCAGCACAGAGUCACUUGGAGGUCCUUCUCAAACACAGAACAAUUGGCUUUACCUACAGAACUUAACUGUUCCAGCUGGUCAUUACCUGACCGCUAAAGCCCUUUGGAUGAGUCAGUAGUGUUUAAAUAAUCCACAUCCAGACACUGUCUUACACCUUCCUUAGCGGACUGCAGUGCAAAUGCAUGGUACAAUUAAUUAACUCUGGGACCAAAACCAGAGUCUCCAGCUUCCAAAACAAAUGCUCAACCGUGUAGCCAAAAGCACAGCUCCAAUGGCAUAAGCCAAUUUACUCUCUGUUUUAUUAAACUUCCACAGUGUUUAGAAUCAGUAAGUCACAGUGGAUCUGGCACUUUAUAUGAUGAACUUUGGUGAGCACUUCCUUAUCCACCUCAAACUCAGUUAUAAGCCUGUAUUGUGAAUUCCUGUGUUUCGGGCGUUUCUAUUUUACUGCAAAUCAUAUGUAAUGAUGCAAAAUUUGGCAACAUAUGUAACAAUGUCUGCACCCAAUUAAAACACAUGUCUGCCCAUA